AACGAACGCUGGCGGCAUGCCUAACACAUGCAAGUCGAACGAGACCUUUUGAUCUAGUCGCGCACGGGUGCGUAACGCCUGGGAACCUGCCCUUAGGUUAGCAAUACCUCACCGCAAGAGGUGCUAAUACCGGAUAAUGUCAUCGCACCAAUGAUCUAUCGCCGUGGGUUGCGCCCGAAUUGUAUUAGGUAGUUGGUAGGGUCACUGCAUACCAACGUGACGUUCUUGGCAUGGUCUGAAAGGAAGAUCAGCCAGACUGAGACGGAGACCCGGCCCCAACUGCUACGAGAGGCAGCAGUGAAGAAUAUAGGACGAUGGGCCAUUGUCUGAUCCAGCAAUGCCGCGUAUGAGAUGAAUGCCGUAGGAUAGUAAAGCUCUUUUACCCGGAGGGAUACUGACGGUACCGGGAGAAUAAGCUCCGGCUAACUCCGUG
RNAcentral lists this ribosomal RNA (433 nucleotides) under uncultured bacterium. Its description in RNAcentral is "partial 16S ribosomal RNA". It matches the Rfam family "Bacterial small subunit ribosomal RNA", at positions 29 to 507 of the family's 1533-position model. The record is from RNAcentral.